This 330-nucleotide small nuclear RNA is filed under the name Erinaceus europaeus (western European hedgehog). RNAcentral describes it as "7SK RNA". It matches the Rfam family "7SK RNA". From Rfam's summary of the family: 7SK was discovered as an abundant small nuclear RNA in the mid-70s but a possible function has only recently been suggested. Two independent studies have found that 7SK RNA binds the CDK9/cyclin T complex (known as elongation factor P-TEFb). Lineage: Eukaryota; Metazoa; Chordata; Mammalia; Eulipotyphla; Erinaceidae. The record is from Rfam by way of RNAcentral.
GGAUGUGAGGGCGAUCUGGCUGUGACAUCUGUCACCCCAUUGAUUACCAGGUUGAUUUGGCUGAUCUGGCUGGCUAGGCAGGUGUCCCCUUCCUCCCUCACCACUCCAUGUGUGACACUUCAGAAGCUUUGCGCUAGGUCUACUUGGCCUACCCCAAGUAGAGGUGACCGGUCUUUGGUUGAGGGUAUAUUAGUAGCUGUGCUCCCCUGCUAGAAACUGAUCAGGUAUUUCCUCUAUCCUGUCAUAUUUUCAUCACCAAAAGAAUUCUCCUCCUGGGAGCUAAGCAGGAAGGAGAUCCUCCAACCUAGUCCAACUUGUACCCUCCAAGUU